Cydia fagiglandana is the source of this 4305-nucleotide long non-coding RNA. RefSeq lists it as uncharacterized. NCBI's taxonomy places the organism in Eukaryota, Metazoa, Arthropoda, Insecta, Lepidoptera, Tortricidae. The record is from RefSeq and is a predicted model, not a curated record. The transcript is spliced from 2 exons.
AGUGCAUGGCCGCCAUUUUGGAUUCCAAAAUGGUCAUCAUUUUCGAAAUCGGCACUCCCUAAAACCUAUAAAUAGACACCCAUCUCGACUUUUAUGACAAAGUGUUUGGCUACCAUCUGCAUGCAAGACAUUUCUAUUAUUUUUACGUACAAAAAUGGCCCCCUGUCAACUUCCAACCGAGAUUUAAUCGAUAAUUUAUUCGAUUAAUGUUCAGAUUAAUUCAAUUUCAAUCUAUGUUAGGUCGACUAAACUAAUCGUGAUUAAAAUUUGAGGAUUAACUUUUUUUAUUCCAUUAAUUAGUCGAAUAAACAGUUAAUCUAUUAAGUCCCAUCUCUGACCACGUCAUUUUUACACUUUGAGAAUAUCUGAAAACAAAUGAACACAAGGAGCCAUUUUGCAAAUCCAGUAACUUUGUUAUUACUUUUGACAGCGCGUGUCAUGUGUCUACACAGAGUCGACACAAAGUCGAAACAUUUGCGACUACUUUGUGACUGCAAUAUUUCUCAGCCUUAAACCAUAUUUAUACAUCAUAAUUAACAAGUUUCGUAGUAUGUAAAGCGUUAUUUCUGUUAUUUAAGUAUAGUAUACGCAUCGAAGUACUAAAAAUGCAUCAAAUAAUAUAUUUAUGAACACAAGCACUGAGAAGUAAACAAUUUCCUUUCCGGCUAAACUAAAACAAUGUGGUGGCGCGUUGAUUAUAUUACACUUAGUUUAUCAAAUCACUCGAGCAGUUUAAUUCCCCAUAAUAAUUUAAGUCCUAUUGUAAUAUAAAUGCAAACAAUAUAUAAUUACGUCUUGUAAUCCGUUUUAGAGAUGGCGUAUUAAUGUCACUUAUUUUUUUUAACUAUUUUUCCAUCUGACAGUUUCCAUUUGACAGGAACAAAAUGAACGAAUGAACGAAUGAUUUUGGCAUAAAGUAGUCGCAAACCCGAAACAAUGUGUGCACACGGCGACCACACUUUAUGUCACUUUGUGUCAUGUGUCGACCCUUCCCCAUUUCUGGUAACUGUGUCGACACGGCGACGACUCUGCGACUGGAAUUGUGACCGAAACAGACGGUGUCGACACAAGAUGUGUCUACACCGUGUCGUAACGGCGACUGGAAAUGGUUGUAUGGGACCUUCGUUAAACAUAAACAUAAUUGAAAUGCUAAUGGAUAAUGAAUAUAUUAUAAUGUAAUAAAAUAAUUCAAUUAUUGAGGACCACCUAUUUUAAUAGGUAUUUAUGUAUUUUAAUUAAAUAUCUGAACUUUCCCUUGGUUCUCUCCUGGGGCGUGACUACAAAAUUGUGAUCUGAUAACCACAAUAAAGAAAAAAAGCGUUUUUGUUCAUUUUAGGUAUAGUUAAACCUUUGAAGUAAAAUUAAAAUUGCAAGAAAUGUCGGUAGUUUAUCGAUAUGACUUUAUCGACAUGGCUACAGCAAAGUGGGUCGCUUUGUUAAUCGUACACUAAACAAAAAGUGGUCCCACUGACAGCUCGCUUGGAAGGCAUCUGUAUAUAUUCUUAUAUCUAUGAUGCUGCCCCUUUCUAAUAUAUGGCACUAUCCCUUUCGGCUAUUUAGGGUUGUCAAAACUCAAGCCAUUAUCUUUGGCCGUGCACGCAAAGGGACAUCAAGUUGUGUCAACCGUAAUUAUUGCUCGGAGCAAUGCUGAGCCGAGCGGAGCCGAGUUUGCCCGAAGGGAGGAGUUUCACCCUUGCCUAUAAAUUAUUCUGAAGAUACAUCUUGGUAUACCAAGAAAGAUAUUAGAAUUCGUUUCUAACAAUAUCUAAAUUACAUAGACAAUUAUUUUAAGUAAUGACGAAGAGAAUAGAGUGUAUAGAGAAUUAAUGUCAUGGUAAAUGAUGUAGCCACGGUACAUUUACUGCCAUCUUUCGAUAGAAGAUUAAAACUGUUAGAACGCCAUUUGAUUUUGAUCCUUAUUCUUUCACUGAUAAGCGUUUUUUUGUUAAAUAUUGAAAUUAACGCCAUCUACUCGACAGCGGACCAAAGGUUAUGGCGCCAUCGCUCCAAAAGAUUGCACCAUACCUUUGGCCUAUAGUCGAGUAGAUGGCGUUAAUCUCAAUAUUUAACAAAUCAACGCUUAUCAGUGAAAGAAUAAGGAUCAAAGUCGUAUGGCGUUCUAACAGUUUUAAUCUUCUAUCGAAAGAUGGCAAUAAAUUUACUGUGACUACAUAAUUUACUUUGGCAAUCCGCCUCUAUUUCGAAUUCUCUUUGGUAAUGAUCAAAACGGUACAUUAGUACACCUGUAUAUACAAAUUAAUAAUCUCAUAUAUUAUGUCCUUUAAUUAUAAAAAAGUGAGCUUUUUGGCGCGUGUACAUAGCUUGUAUGCGGUCAAUAGACGAGAUAUUUAACCUCCUAAGACCCAGCUAUACAAAUGAAAAAUCCAAUAUUUGCUACUGAAAUUUGAACCUAUAAUGCAGGGAAUAGAGUUGAUUUUGUUUUGUUUGAAAAUUAAACGAUACAAAACAAUUGCAACUCUAUUACUAUUGUAAUAUGGUUUAAAUUUCAUCGAAAUAAUUAAGUACCAUAGGUAGGACCUUGGGCCUUAGGAGGUAGUAAUAAUAAACUACGUGGCUUUGUCAUUCGCCCAAUUAAAUAUUACCACAGAUCCAAAAAGGUUUUACGAUUUGUUAAAUCUAUAGUUUUUUUUAAUAUUUAUGGUACUAUCCUAUUGGCCAAAUGACGGAGUCACGCGGGUUAGUUUUAUACAGACGUAAUGCAUAAUUAUUUUCCAUCGUAUUUUCACGGAAACGUACGAACGUGUCUUGCUAUUUCAGUCAGUCUCGGUACAAAAAGUACUGAAGUUGACUGAACUAGCAUGACAAAUACGAACGUUUCCGAUAAAAUACGAUGGAAAACAAUUAUGCACUACAUCUCUAACAGGUUUUUACCCCUGAACAAUGUAAUAUUUAUGAAAAAACUAAAAAAAUAGCUUAUAGUUCGUAAAAUAACUACAUAAUUCUAGAUUAAGAUUUAUAAACUCAUUAAAACCAAUUUUCAAACUAAAAAUCUCUGAAUAACUUAUCUGUUGGACAUCUAAGUUACUCAUAUACUGAUAUCUUUAGGUAUUUUAAUAAAAGUAAACAAAAUCUACCCUCAAAUGGCUCCUUAAGUCAGUUAAUGGUAGAUGAAAACGUUACAUGAUCAAAUAAUGUAGGUGAAAGUCAGGUCGUUCAGUGACUGAUCCAGGCGGUAUUGUAUUUGGUUGGUUAACCAGUAAAUGUUAUAACUACCCGAAAAUGUACAAAUUGUUUGUUUACUUUUAUUUAAAUACUUAAAGAUACAGAGUAUAAGUGUAAUUGUAAUAUUUUUAGUCGACCUUAUUUUAUUGUUUUUAUGUCUCAGAAUAAAAAAGCGGUGGUGGCCGAGUGGAUAUGACGCCCGACUUUCAAUCCGGAGGUCGCGGGUUCAAAUCCUGGCUCGUACCAAUGAGUUUUUCGGAACUUAUGUACGAAAUAUCAUUUGAUAUUUACCACUAGCUUUUCGGUGAAGGAAAACAUCGUGAGGAAACCUGCACACAUCUGCGAAGAAAUUCAAAGGUGUAUGUGAAGUCCCCAACCCGCAUUGGGCUAGCGUGGGGACUAUAGCCCAAACCCUCUCGUGCUUGAGAGGAGGCCUGUGCCCAGCAGUGGGACAUAUAUAGGCUGAAUUAUUAUAAGUCACAGAUGCUAAAAUGACAGUAGUUAACCAAUUGUCAAUCUAGUAGUCACCAUCCGAUAUAUCGGAACGGUAAAAGUGCUCACAAACAUCCGAGCACACCUCUAUUGUCUCGUUAGUGCGUGUUCAGAUAUUUUGAAGCACCUAAGCCGCUCCGAUAAAUCUGACGGUGACUGUAGAAAUAUAAAUUGGGCUAAUCGAACCCUUAUUUUAGUAUCUAUGAUAAAAAAAACUUCACCUACAAAAGAAUUUGACUAUGAUAAGGCCCUUGAAGGGUGAACUAAAGUACCCACCAACGAUUGGCACUCAUUUAGGUGUCAUUGGGGUUGGCAACUGACAAAGGUUUGCAUAGAUGGCGCCAUAAUAGAUUGCCUAUUUUGCUAUGAGAUUUGGAUGAAAGAGCUGGCAUCCAGGGCAUACAAUUCCAUAAAAAAAAAAACUAAAAUUUGACAGUUCUAUAGAUUGAUAGAGAAGCUAUGCUGGCGCCAUCUGCUUAAAACUUCGAAACGCCAACUCCAUUAUUGGGUGGUUUUAUCCUAGUUUAGUUAUAUAUUAUAUUCCCAUGGUAGCACAAAAUGUUGCUUUUUAAGUUAAUCAUGUAGUAGAUGUUAUUAAUUAAUGAGAAUAAAAUAUUUAUAGAAAAAGUA